GCCUAGAAUCCCCACAGACCUUCCUAGAUGAUACAAGACCUAGGCGAUGCUGUUUUCUGGGCUCCUUAACUUUCGAAAUAGUUACUGUUUCCCAUUUUGGGUAACAUUAUGAACUAUUUCCAUAUUCCUCUUAAAAUACUAUUUUUAUGUAGCAAGUCAUUUCAGAUAACAGUCUAAUUUAAAAUUUUUCUUUGGCUUGUAAGCCCCCAACCCACCAGAAUUUAUAUGUUCAGACCCUCCGAGCCCUGAACUUGCUUUUACAGUUUCCCCCUUAAACGUUUUGUGUAUGAAGUGCUGCUUUGGAUCCAAGAGCCGAGUUGCUCACACUGUACCGAAUCAUGUUGCUUCUGUCAGUGCACAGACAUGCUAUCAUGUCAGCCAGUAUUGAAUGUCAUUUGAUUGUGUAUUUUUUUAAGUCAAUCCAGCGCAUAGAACGGACAUUGUUUAAAAGCUCUGAAUGCUGGGAUUGGGUUUUUAACCCCUGAUUUUAUUCUGAACAAUUUCUAAAGAAAGAAAAGUUGAAAGAAUACAGUGACUGCAUGUAUAUCUACUACUAGGCUCCUACAACCACUCUUUGGCCAUAUUUGCUCUCUAGAGCCACACGUGUAUGAAAUACAGAUAUGCACAUAUAUAUGAGUGUAUGUUUGAUUUUAUUAUUAACCUUUGAGAUGUUAAGAUACAUAUACCCUAAAUACUUCAACAUCCCCUAAAAAUAGUGAUAAUGUCCUUUUAAAAAAAAUCUCCUGAAUCCAUUAUAAAAUCAAUAAUUUCCAGAUAGUGCCUGGUCUCCAGAUUUAACUGUAACUGCCCAGAAUCCCAUUAAAGUUACAGCCUGAUUUCAUUUGUAGUUCUUUGAUCAGGUUAAUAACACUCUUUUGAAAAGAUGUAGAAGAAAUCCUUUCUUCAAAAUGGUCAAACUUAUUCCAGGUUUUAAUUAAGAAAAGUGAGUGGCUAAAGAAGUUUGAUCUUUCUUCAAUCUCUGACUUUUAUGCCUCCUCUUUCAGUGAUAGCAUAGCGUAAUAGGUGUAAGUGGAGAUUUAAAGUCACAAAAGUCAGCUGGUAUUGUAUGAGCUAAUAAUUCAUGUCAUAUUGACUGUAUUUCGUUUCUUUUAAGUUUAAGAAAUUGGUCAGAGGCUCCAGCUCAUUGGAAAGGCUGAGUGAAAGGCAUUGUGAAAAUAGGUUUCCUUUAAACAUUAAUCACUGACACCCCCCCCCCCCCGCCAUGUAAGAGAGACCCCUCCCCC
Molecule: long non-coding RNA, 1244 nt
Filed under: Rattus norvegicus (Norway rat)
Lineage: Eukaryota; Metazoa; Chordata; Mammalia; Rodentia; Muridae
Description: long non-coding RNA NONRATT015056
Source: RNAcentral